This 681-nucleotide long non-coding RNA is filed under the name Sorghum bicolor (sorghum). RNAcentral's name for it is "long non-coding RNA (SBIC_LNC013586)". The record is from RNAcentral. Lineage: Eukaryota; Viridiplantae; Streptophyta; Magnoliopsida; Poales; Poaceae.
UGACGAUAUCGAUUAUUUAGCAAAUGACAAAAUUAAAAUAUAUUAUAAGAGAAAUAUUUAAAAAUCGGAAUACAUUUAUAUGACGUUUCCCUCACAAAUUAAAAACACGUUUAUCGUUUCAGAGAUGGAUUCAUGUGGGAGUAUAUGGAGUAAGAUCACAAGGUUCAUGGACGCUGCGUUCCACUAGAUAAGAGGCGCACUUUCCAAUUAUAUCGCUGGUCACUCCCUGCUUCACCUACGAUUACAGCAAUGUGAACCCGGGUUUGCAUUUGGAUCCGGAGACGGCGGUGAGUUGGGCUGCCUCCCUCCUGCACGCAGAUCAGAGAUGAUGGAUCAAAAACACAUGCAAGUCAGCUGCUUAAUCCUCACGUGUAACUGUGCGGCCCUGUUCGGCUGGCUGAACUGCUGAUAUCGAUUCUGAUUUGUUGUGAGAGAAAAACACUGUACUAUAACUCUAGGAGCCCCAUAAAUUAACCACCACAGAGUGGCGCGACGAGCAUAGUAGGUUGUACCUUGCGCAGGCUUAACGUGCACGGUGAGAAUGAUGAAGAACGCCGCCGCCAAGAUCGCCAAGAAGCGCAGAACAACCGGCAGCUGCAAGGAGGGACGAGGCGCCUUCAUUUUGAAACUUUUUGCUCUGCGCCGGCUCUCUAUCUCUAAGUCGUUUUUCGUGGAUGUGCA